This 468-nucleotide ribosomal RNA is filed under the name uncultured bacterium. Its description in RNAcentral is "partial 16S ribosomal RNA". It matches the Rfam family "Bacterial small subunit ribosomal RNA", at positions 28 to 507 of the family's 1533-position model. The record is from RNAcentral.
GACGUACGCUGGCGGCGUGCUUAACACAUGCAAGUCGAACGGAAAGGCCCUGCUUUUGUGGGGUGCUCGAGUGGCGAACGGGUGAGUAACACGUGAGUAACCUGCCCUUGACUUUGGGAUAACUUCAGGAAACUGGGGCUAAUACCGGAUAGGAGCUCCUGCUGCAUGGUGGGGGUUGGAAAGUUUCGGCGGUUGGGGAUGGACUCGCGGCUUAUCAGCUUGUUGGUGGGGUAGUGGCUUACCAAGGCUUUGACGGGUAGCCGGCCUGAGAGGGUGACCGGCCACAUGGGGACUGAGAUACGGCCCAGACUCCUACGGGAGGCAGCAGUGGGGAAUAUUGCACAAUGGGCGGAAGCCUGAUGCAGCAACGCCGCGUGCGGGAUGACGGCCUUCGGGUUGUAAACCGCUGUCGCCUGUGACGAAGCGUGAGUGACGGUAAUGGGUAAAGAAGUACCGGCUAACUACGUG